Molecule: long non-coding RNA, 250 nt
Filed under: Homo sapiens (human)
Lineage: Eukaryota; Metazoa; Chordata; Mammalia; Primates; Hominidae
Description: HSALNT0208411
Source: RNAcentral
CCGGCCCCCAGUGGUGACUUCUUAUAUAGUUAUAGUACAAUAUCAAGACCAAGAAAUAAGACAUUGCUCCAAUGUUAGCUAUACUACAGGUCUUGUUCAUUUUUCUCAUGGAUAUGCCGCUGUGUGUAUGUGUGGUUCUAUGCAGUUCUGUCCCACGUAUGGAUGCAUAUAACCACCACCAUAAUCAAGAUACAGAUUGUUUCAUCACCACAAAGGAACUCUCUCAUGUACCUCUUUAGUUAUACCCUUC